Long non-coding RNA from Brassica napus (rape), 1146 nucleotides. RefSeq lists it as uncharacterized. The record is from RefSeq and is a predicted model, not a curated record. The transcript is spliced from 3 exons. NCBI's taxonomy places the organism in Eukaryota, Viridiplantae, Streptophyta, Magnoliopsida, Brassicales, Brassicaceae.
UAGCAAGUAUUUGGCCUUUCCGCAGCCUUAUACCGAAGAACCGUCGAUCCACCAUUCCUUUGAUCGAUCAUUCGAUUCGAAGCCUAUCUGUUUCACCAACCUUCGAGUGCAAUCCUUGGGAGAUUUUCAUCAGGAUAUAUCGUAGAUUAGUUCUUUAAUAGUGCUGUUCGUUUCAUCGAUGCAGGUACGGCGUCUGCAUCUGCGUCAAUGUUUUUCACUUAAAAUUUGUUCGUUUCAUCGACGCAGGUACCUGCGUCUGCGGCCGAACGCAACGUCCAGCAUCAGACGCCAAAAAAAUCAGCGGCCACGACUUAAAUUCCGCGUCUACUUAACCUAUUUACUGUUUUUCUCUUAACCUAAUUCACUAAUUACCAAAAAUACUACGCAGACGCAGCUUUCUGAGUCUUCUCUUCUCCAGCUCUCUCUCUCGAAUCUCGAUCUCGAACCCAGCCAAACCAAACUCAAUCUCUCGAUCUCAAACCCAGCUCUAUCUCAAACCCAGCUCUAUCUCGAACUCGAACCCAACUCUAUCUCGAACUCGAACCCAACUCUAUCUCGAACUCGAACCCAGCUCUCUCUCUCGAACCCAACUCUCUCUUAAACCCAUCUCUCUCUCGAACCCAGCUCUCGAUCUCAAACCCAGCUCUCGAUCUCGAACCCAGCUCUCUCUCGAUAUCUCGAUCUCAAAGCUCAUCUCACUCUCUCGACUCCCUGUGACAGAAUCUGAUAUUACUUGGUCCCAACUUCAUCCAAGUGAACGCAUAUACUGUUCAAAGCGAUAACUCCAGUGAAGAAGAUGACAGCGAUGAAGACAGUGAUGAGGAGGAUCAGCCUCAGUACAGAUUCCGUGUUAGAACCGUCGGUGUGCCGUGUGCGUCCUGUGAAGUGAUAAAAAGGUGUCGAUCGUAAGGGACGUGGAUGGGUUCUUUCAUUCCCUCAUUACCCUGAUAUUGUUGUUGCAAACAAGAGCUGUGAAAAGAGAAAAGCCAUAAGAGACCAGGAGAAUGUUCAUGUCCAGUGAAGUAGUGAUGUGAUGUUAUACAUACUCCCUCCGUUUCACUUUAUUUGUCGUUUUAAGUUUAUGCACACAAAUUAAGGAAACAUUUAAUUUUGCAUAUUUCCAAAAUAAAAACAUUAUUAUCUAUA